GGUGUGCUCUUCCCUGCAGAGCGUAUGGGCAAGAGCUGCCUGUAUUUUGUUUUGUCAUCAAGGAUUAUGUAUUGUCAAUAUGAACAAGAUAAGCAGUUAACUGUACUGUUUAAUUAUUUGUGUACAUUUGCAAGCUUUCUGGGUCAUCAUCACCUUCUUGAUUUCUGUGAUUCGUCUCUGUCAUUUGCUUCAUCUGUAAUACUCCAGAACAUUGUCCUGCUUUGUUAAUUUAUGGCUCCCUAAAUGCUCAACUAACAACACUUUGACACAAAUCACGGAGGCCAGCGUACUGAAGAAGAGUCAUUCCUUUGCUCUUUGACUUCUGAAGAUAUAGAGCAAAGAGUAAUUUCGUACCGCUGCUGAACCCUGUGAAGUUGCUGCCUUGAUUCUGGCAUGCGACCUACCGGCUUCAGUUUCAACAACGGAACCUCUGUUGUUUGCCCCGGCCCCCGGUCACUUUUUGUUGAGACUUACUCCAGUAGUAGAAUUAGAGAAGUUUAGGUGGAGAUACUUAUCAUCAGCUCACUGCCACUACAACGAAGUCAAACUUCGAAAGGAACGGCAGCAAUCUAACACAGCCAACUACGUAGGUCAUGGUCAUGUGUAGUUAAAUUAUAGAACAUGCUCCGGAUUACAAGAACCGUGCCCUCAGCUAACAUUUGCAUUUCUGUAUCCUAUUCUGCUAUUCAAGAGGAAAGCAACCUUGUUCUUGAUUGUGAUGUGGAAACUCAACCGUUCUUGUAUAACACCAGACACCAUUUGCACCAUGUUCAGAAAUCAGAAGUGCCUGACUUUGUCAGCUUAAGAUUUGGAGCAGGAAGUUCAGUCAAAGGUCCUGUUUGGAUUGACUUCUUGCGCGGGGGGGGGCUAAUGGAUGGACACUCGCCGCUCUGAUUUGCAAGGGUUCUCACGGUGAUUUUGCAGGAUUUUCACACCAAACGCUUCGAAUCCCGUAGGAUAAUUAUGUCCACGUGCAGUAUAUGACACUCCAACAAAAACGACCGAACCUGAAUUUGGGAUCCGACAAUGCCUGGAAAUCCUGUGAAUUACCGCGCUUUCUGAACAGAGGAUACGAAUCCAUGGAUGAUGGAUCCCCUGAACUUGGACAAGAGAGGGAGACCCACAGUGUGGGCGGGCCUCUGCUCGUAUUGAAUGCUGUUACCUUGUAGUGGGGCGCGACUUCGUCUCCUGGGCCAUGAUCUGGAUUAGCCCAUGUGCACACAAGGUGGGCAUCAUUCGCGGUGAAUCAAACGAGCUCACAUGUGUUGUACGCAAUGUGGCCUGUUCUUGUGUUUGCUCACGUCACAUGGUGUGUCCCGAAUUAACCUGACGAGACACGCAAGUAUUCCAUAACGCCUUAACAAUACUGCAAUAUCAUGUUUGCAAGAAUCUAUAAAGAUGGCAAAUUGGGUCACCGCCGAGGCCAAUCACUUGAGGAUUAUCGUGUCGAGAGAGUAGAUGGCUGUACCGACUUGGGGCUCUGGCAUGGAUCCAUCAGUGUAAGACAGUUCCAACCAUUCGAAAUGAUGCUCACUGUGUCAUCACGAUUGGCGGUAAAUAUAUUACACACAGACGGCAGAAAAGCAAAGCGAGCCGGAGGUACCUUGUCUGGUCAUAAGAUUGUUGCAGAGAACUUAUAUGUACAAAAAACUGCAUGGUCAUGGAAGAAAACACGACGAUCACUGUACAUGGCACACCAGGUAAAGAACUAAUUAGUGCAGCUAAGGAUACCUUUCUUUUAUUUCUGAUGAGCGGAGCAGUACGCAGUAUCUCCUGACCCUAUAUAAGACUAUCAUGAUGUUCUCCACUGCUCCCUCCAGCAAAUGUCUCUGAAGUUUCUGGCAGAUCAUCUACACUGGACAAAGGCUUGUCCACAGCAGAAGCAUCUAUGUUUGAAGGCUCUGGCAGGUCAGGCACAUCACUGUAAGGCUCGUUUACUGAAGGUGCAUACGUCUCUGAAGGAUCUGUCCGAUCAACCACAUCAACCAACGGCUCAUUGGCGGCAGAAGCAUACACCUCUGAUGGUAAGGGCGCAUCGACCACAUCAACCAAAGGCCCAUCCAUGGCAAAGGCUUCUUCAUCUGAAGAUGAGAAUGUACUGAACAAAUUAUCUGAACCAAAAGGGGCAGCUUCAUUGUCAAUGUCCUCCAGAUCAGAAAUUUGAGCUUCAGAAUCAGAUGAUUCUCCAAGCAAGACUUCGAGAGACGGGCUGCUAUUAUUUGUUCUCUCUGCUACGAAAGGCAUGCCCAAGAUGUCAUUCUCGCACUCAUGUAGCAAGUCAUAAACCCUUUGCAGCUGUGGCCCUGCAGUAGGGGUCACGUUAUAACUAGCUCCAUUACCUGCAAAAAGAUCUUCGAAAUGAUUUCCAGUCGCAGUGUUCCUUGAACUGAUGGCUUCAGUGGCAAAAACUACACCAAGCGACUCUAUACUGCUCAAAUCUAACCAGGAGUGUUCCACCUCUGGUUUCAUGAGGGUUUCAACAGGGCCGGAGUCCAAGCUGCUAUUAUCGAUCCAUGUUUUCUUGGAAUCAGGAAACUCAAAGAAUACAGAGUCCAUCCCACCAGAAAGCCUAAUGUUGUUCUCUGUAAUCUCCAGAUCUCCAUCCUUAUCUGACAAGGUUUCCAUUGCAUUGACACCAUCCCUGGUAGCACCAUUUGCAGGAGAUGCACAGUUUGAUGAUUCAAAAGUUGUGUUAAUGGAUAGGUCACCAGAAAUAUUUCCGUCUCCCUCAUCAAUCUCCAAAGCUUUCUUCACUAGCAAAAGUUGGAACAUUGGGUUCUUCUGGCCCACCUUGCGGUCAGCAUCUUCCAAGUUCUUAUGAGCUCCUGGGGAUGUUCUCUUGAAGGAGGAUAUUGCAGCACCAUCGUUACCAAGGCACACCUCAGAAGGACCAUUCCUGAAAGAGCUAGCAUUUCUUGCUGCAAGAAACUCUGCCAAGGAUACAACAGGUCUGCUUUCAUUCACUUGAGCUGUCUUAUCAACAGAUUCCCAAAUAGUUGAAGAUUUUUCUUUCAUCUGAGUUCCAUCAGCAACUGACCCCAGAAGUGUAGGAGGAGGCUGAGAAGGAUCAUCCACAGGUUCAUUGCUCAUGACAAAUGUCAUUGUGUCCAAAGUAGGAUCAUAAUUCUUUCCGUUUACCUGCGUACGGUCAUCAACAGAUCCAGUAUGAGGCCAUGAAGGAACACUCCAUGGUUCAGUGCUAGCAAAUGCCGUCUUGUCAGGAUAGAGAUCAAUAUUCAGUUCAUUUACCUCAACAUUCCCGACCAAGCGUGCCUUAGAGACAGAAGUGGGUGGAACCACAUCAACUUCCUUACUUACAUCACCAAAUUCACCAUGAAAUUGGCCAACUGAUCCAUCUUUAGUGGAUAUCUCAUCAGCUUGUCCAUUAGAAAGGGAGGAACUUGAGGAAUCAAUUGUAUUUUCAGCACUUAAAUUACUGGCGGUGCAAGCAACAGACUUCGAGGGUGACGUAGCUUUGGUGGAAUUGAGAAAUGCCUCCAAGGCGAAUGCUAAUGCACCAUCAAUAGUAACAGGAGCUUUGCCUUUGGGGUCGUUGACAGUGCUUUUGCUCAGAGUAUCAUCAGAGUUUGUAUGACGAUCAUCAAGAUCACCAGCUGUUUCUUUGACAUCCUCCACUUCAUCGUCUUCAUCAUUUGGGAACUCUGGAACCUUAACAGCUAGACCUGGUGUACUCUUACGUUCUUUCUCAGAAGAUGAAGCAGAAUCAGCUGGUGGAAAAGGCCCGUGAUGAAGCUUCUCACAAGUUACCUCAGGUUCACAUAUGAAAUCAGAAGCCCUAACAUUAGGUCCACGUAUUGUAUUCUCAUCGGCCAAAUCACAACCACAGGAAUCUUCUAAAGAAAAUUCUGGCGCCCUGAUAACCAAGCCUGGCUGCCUGUUCAUUAUAGAAGCAGAAGUUCCAGUAUUGCCACUAUAAUGUUCCUUUUCCUGUGAGUUAGUGAUAUCAGAGUAAACAUUUGGGACUGACAUUCUUGCAGACAAAGACUGAAUCUCUACAGAAAAUGAAUCAAACUGUUGCUCCAGCCGCUUAAGCCUUGCCUCAAUGCUACCGAGGGGCCUCAUCAUACUGUCCUCAAACCUAGAGCAAUAUAACUCCACUUUAUCCACCUUGGAGAGGAGAAUUUCCAGCGUCUUCUCAAUAGGAUUGUGCGGAGUAAAAUUUCCAUUCAUGACAGGACCAGUGUCCUGAUCCAUAUUUGAUACUCUCUGGCCCUUUGCCGAUGCCACUUGUAUAUUUUCUGUUGUUCGCUCAGGCAAAGGGAGAGGUCUGGGAACAUUUAAUGGGAACUCACCUUGGUUGCUUUUUUCAUUAGAGAUCGUAUCACCCCCCAUAGGUGGUAUUCUGUUUUCCAACCCAGCUGACAUAAAACUUGAAUCAUUUGUGCCACACAUUGCUGCUUCUAAAUCAAUCUUUCCACAUGGGCUGCUCUCUUUCAAUGCACAACCUUCAGGAAGUUGUGUCCUCAGGCCAUCAGGAAAAUAACUGUCAUCUAUUUUGCACUUUGUAGAUUUGGACAUUUGCAUAAGACCAGGAACAAGCAUAGCCAACAAAGAACUACCUCCCAUGUUUCCAGGACCAGCUACUGACUCAUCACUGGUGGACCCAACAUUAUCAGCAAAUAUGUAGAUCUCUUCAAGGUGCACUGAUGUCUUUGACUCUAGUGAAAGAAGACGGACAGUAAGAGAAACACAUGGGCUUGCGUCAGUUAUCUCAGCAGUUGCUUCAUAGUGUGCCUGGAUUAUGCAAAAUAAAACAACAAUGUCGUAAUUUGUAAGAAUCUAGGAGAAGUAUUUUUACAGUGAGUAUCAAACAAUAUUUAUUGACAAGACCAAAAACGAGAGGAAAUACCAGAGUAUUUUUCUGGUGGGUUCCAAUCGCAUUCCUUUCUUGAGAUUCAGGUGUGUUGCUUUCCAGAGGAGACUCUGGAACUUUGACUUCAACCCAGCUAUCUUCAUCACUACUACUGGUUACACUUUUGGUCUCUUGUUCAUGCUUUUCAACAGAUACAGUAUUGCUACUCCCCUGAGACAUACACUCUUCACCAGAGGGCAGCGGUUCAUUAGCAGCAAGUCCACAGCGCACAGUGCAUAGAUAAUCCUUGCUGGUAUCCUUCAGGUUGGUUGAAUAGUAUAUUUCAUAAAUCCGGGCUGUGCUUUUCACAUACACUCUAUGAAUCUCAUACUUUCCUGUGAAAUUAACUGAAAGAAGAAGUGAAUUAGUUACAUCGAUACAGAAAUGGAAAAUGAAUUGAAAUUCAGCGGGGAAAUGUUCUACACUAUUUAUAGAACAAAAUGGAGACAAACUAGAAAUUUGGCCAUGAAAGCCACGCUAUGAUGGACUACAUAGAAUGAUAUAGAGCCUGACUUCAGAUUUGCAAUGCAGAUACAAGGCGGAUUGAAUAAAAGAUGACAAAAUAAAAGCAUACUAGUUGCAGUUCCAAAAUUAAUUAGCCUCUGGUGCUCGCUGAAGCUUUCGCAAGUCGACAUGGACGGGCACCAACGGCGCGAAGGAUCGCAUUGCAGUAGCCUCUGGUGCUGGCUUCCUUUGGCACCGGGUUGGCCUGUGUGUUUUGUUUUAGCUGGGCCCUGGAUGCGAUGUAUGGCUUGUAUUUCGCUACUGUUUUGGGCUACAUUUUCCUGUUUCUUUGUUGUUCUUUUUGCUUACAUUUUGGACUACUCUUUUGUAUGCUGGCGGUUUCUAUAAUGGAAAUCGGUGGAGAGAGCCCACUGUUUCUAUUUUUUUAUUAAUUAGCCGACAAAAUUCUGCCCUGUCACUAUACAAGAAAGGAAAUACUUUAUGGGAAUUAAAGCGUGAUCAAGGGUGGGCAAUUUGUAGUGGAACAUAUUUACUUCAAUGUCGAGCUUCUGGAAAAAAGUGGAAGCUAAAGCUGUCAAAAUCGAGCCAGGUCUUUUCCGAAGUACUCCCUCCGUCCCAUAUUAAGUGACUCAAAUUUGCUCGAAUAUGGGUGCAUCUAUAUCCCAAAAGUGUCUAGAUACAUGUAAUAUUUCGUCACUUAAUAUGGGACGGAGGGAGUAGUACCAAAACUACUAAUUGCUGUUGGAGUGAUCAUGGGGAGAAUACGAAGCUCUGAAAUUUUAUACAUUUUAGUAUACAGCCUAUAUCACAUAUAGUGAUCGGAUAUCCACUUCAAAUAUGAGCCUUUGGACAGGAAAAUGGCCCCUGAAGUGUCUGCAGCGACAAGGGUUUCACUGAUAUACGAAUAGGCCAAUUCGAAUGGACUCUGCAAGUCUCCAACAGCAAUAGCCAGUUUGGUGUGCUUAGCUCGUAUACUAGCCCACUAGGGUUUAUCCAACCAUACGCUGACUAUUGCAAAAGAUUAAAUUUCAACAGUGCUUGCAUCUGCGUCCGAUCAGCGACAUGGAACAACGGCACGGCGCAAUUCGCAAUCAAACCUCCCGAAAUCUUUCACUAGGCUACAACUUUCCAAGGCAAAAACGAGGACCCACCAGUAACUUCGCAUGGAGGGGGAUCCUCUCCGCCGUCGGAGGGCGGGCGGGCGAGGACGACGGCCGUGGGGGAGGACUCGGCGUCGUCGGUGGACGUCUCGAAAGACACGGCGUCCUCGACCGUCGCGGCUCCGGCCGGAGCCCAGGUGCUGGUCGCCGUCCAGGGCCGCCCGGGCUCGCCUCCCGAUCCCGAUGCCGCCAUCGCUCCCCGACUGCCUCCAGCCGCGUAGUGGGUGGGGAAAUCGGCGGUGGCGUACUGGUGGGGUUCGCCGUUGGUCGCUUAGCUUCGCUUCAGGAUUCCGUCAGGCGCUCGCUCACUUCACGACGAAUCUGGUGCGGGAUCUCAUCCUACAUUCCGACAGGCUACAGGCCCUCGAAACAAAAUGGAUUUUGGGAUUUGGGUUUGCCGUUGUCUUGGGCCUAAGUCCAAUAGACCAAUAAUAAGGCCAACUAAACGCAUGGGCCCAUUGCCGCAUUCAUAAAAAACAUGGGCUUCUAGGCCCAUUAAAAAUCGUUAUCGAGUUAUCCACACCGCGAAUGUUUUACCACCGCAGCCGCAGACGAUGCGUCCCGGGCGCGGCCGUCAAGAAUGCAGCUCCGCUUCGUCCCGCUCGCCGCGAGCGCCAUGGCCGGAAGGAGCUUCCUCGCCGAUCUUCCUCGGCCCGUGAGGGGGAGAAGGAAUCAUCUAUGCUACAACGGGAACAAUUCGUCGUCGUCGGAGAAGGACGGCGAGCGUGGUCCGACAGAAGAGGCGCUGCGGCGGCUGGCAGAGCUCGACGCUCAGCUGGAAGGGCUGAAGGAGCCCAAGAUGAGGCCUCCGCCGCCCCCUCCUCCCCCAGGUAAUCAACUAAUCAUUGACUACCGGUCUCGUCGGGCCAACUUGGCUUCUCCGGUCUUCCAUGCGUCCAUACUAUCUUGCCCUCUCAAUUCAAAAAAUCAAUGAUUCAAGAUCUUCAUCACAGCCAAUAAUUGAUUGAGAUCAAGUUUUUGCAGCACACGUGAACCUGUAUGUUCGCGUGUCCUCUGAAAAGAAAAGAAGAUUUUCACGGUGAGUGUGUUACAGCAAGUCAGCAAGGAUGUAUGUUUAGGUCCUACUGAAAAUUGUGUUUAAAGCUGCAUAAACUAUGCAGGAUAGAUGGAUCAGUCCCUUGCACUGAAACUACCUAAUGAAACCCUAUGAAUUCAUAUGCAAAACUUGUGGUCCUCAGCGUAAAUUCUAUGCCUGAAUGCUUCGGUACAGGGUACAAAUGGCCAUUUCUCAAGUACUCGUACCUUAGAAGCUUAGAUCAGUAGUACAAAUCAAGUGCAAAAUGCAGACCAGGCUUGCCAUUUCCUCAUGUAGACUUUUAAGAGCAGUACUUACAUUACAACGUACGGAGUACUUCGUAGAACUCCUAAUGACUGCAAAUGUACUGACCCUCAAAUUGCUUCGUCCUUAUCGACACAGAAGUACUUUCCGAAAUAGUUGAAGCCUUGUCACUUCAUUUCAACAUCACCUUGGCAUGUUAUCUUACCGUGUUUUGCUUGGCAUGCACAGACCCUUUCAUGGACCGGGACAUGAUAAUAACGCGGGGACGACCAAGCGAGGAGCUCCCAGAAAUGACCCCGGCGUACGUAGCCUUCUCAACUCUAGCGCUUUUCAUCUUCACCAUCUUCACCAACGUGAUGUUCAACCUGUACGUCAAACCUUCCGUGGACGGCGUCGAUCAGCCCGUGAGAACUCAGAGAACGGCCCUGCUUAAUCCAGCAGACCAGCUGCCCCAGAGUAGCUCGUCCGAGACGUGAAUGACAAUGAACCGCAGCUUGUUAAAGCAAGAGGGCAUGUGACUUUUUAGCUAAUAAAAGUAAAUGGAUGGUUUGCGCCUCAUAUUUGAUUUUCUGUAUGUAGAUCAAUCCCCACAUGUUCCGAAUGAACUAUAUUUUGCUGGCAUCGAUCGAGGGUUCGUUUUGAUAAUGCAGAGGUUCUGCUGCACAUGCCUGUGUCUGUGUGGGGCUCUACCUCUCGAUGUAUAUUCAGUUUCUUGAUGGCCAAUGAUGACCGAUCAUAGAACGUGGAAGUAAAAGAAAACCGAAUCGACAUCCUGAAUCAAACAUAUCAAACCCAACUGAUUGUAUCAGCAGUAGUCACGGACGGACGCAUAACUUGGAGAACGCCGACAUGACGAAUGAGCUGUGAACUAUGUUCGUGUGGCACGCGGGAGAAGCAGAGCUAGCAGCGGGGUACGUACUCCCGUCCCGUGGUAGCGGUCCCGGGCUCUGCGAUCUUGUACUGAUGAUUUUCUUUCUUUCAGUUGUACAUGUCCUUUGGCUCUUCUGUUUUCCCUAUUCUUUUCUAUCUUAUUAUGUCUCUGCCUUAUAUUGUUCCGAUUCAUACACUGGCCUUUCGGAUUUGUCGGCAGUUUUUGAGUUCCCGUGGAGAUCGUGGACCUUAAUUUCUUGUUGGCUUUCGCUUUCGUUUAAGCAAGAUUCUGAGUUGCUUUCCUAUCGUAGCAGCAGUACGCCUUGGUUUGUCUCCUGUUUCGUCACAGCGCUAGCUAUCGAUUUAUUUUUCGUCUCGCCCGCACAAAAAAAUAAUGUUUUGCUUAUUUCUUGCUCCCUUGAUCCUAAAUUGUUGAAUCAAAUUUGUCAAAAUAUAGAUGUAUCUAUUCUUAAAAAGCGUCUAGAUACAUGUAAUAUUUCGACAACAAUUUAGGAUCGGAGUGACUACGUUAUAUUUUCUUAAUCUAAAUUCCGUUUUAAUACAGUUCCAAAACACCUGAAGGCGAUGUGGCUCCGCAGCAGGCCGAGCUUUGACCCUAUUUUAAACCUCGCAUGUAUUUCCCGUCUUAAGUACGUAUGUAUGUCUUCGAUGCUGCACGCCUGCACAUGAUUAUUUAUUCAUUCGUUUUUCCCAUAUCUAACCCAAGCCCAAGCCUCGAACAAAUACCUGGACGUAUUAGUUUAGAGGAAUCUCGUAACAUGGAGAUCAUAUCAUAGUUUAUCUCUGCCACGAAAGGAGAACAUACUUCAACUCCGCCCCCGGAUCGAGUCAUCGUAUUCCAGCAGUCCAGCUGCCAACACCAGAACACCUCACGUGCCUUUACGUGAGACCCGAAGAGAGGUCUCGGUAAUACGAGCAGUAGCCCUCGCAUUGGCUUUACUUGACAGCUUUUUUCAGGGGAACUUUACUAGGAAACAGAUCCGAAGUGAAAUGAGGUCCAGCAUCAGGCGUGCCAAUCCUUUUCCGACGAAUAAAACUGCAUGGCACCGAUCCAUCGCCCGGCCCAUUUCGUGUCCGCAUCGGUCGAUGGUGCAUGUGCGCCCGUCCGUCCGUCCGUCCCCAGAUCUGGUGCGUCUCAUCCGGACAAAAGCCCUCGGACUGCACGCCCGGACGACGGACGGACACGUCGCCCGCCCGCGGCGCGACGCCACGGCCAGGCAAUGAGCUAGCACGGUGAGAUGUCGAGUUCUCGGCGAACAGAGGACUUCGCUUCACCCGGCCGCGGCGAUCCACGCUGUAGAUCUUCUCCAUGAUUUCGUGAAUCAGUACUGUACUAUUAGCUGGAAGAACCCGAUCGAUCGGGUAAUAAUUGCGGAGGACGGAUCAUCACGGAACGAAUCGAUCGGCCGGGGGCGGUUUGUGCUGUGGUUGGCCGGCAUGUGAUCGGUCAGCCGCGGUGGCCCGGCACAGGGCAGUGCGCUGUGGACACUGGCAAUUUACUUAUCCCUGCAUACCCUGAAGAGCACGCGUGUGUAUGCCGACUCUGGGCUGCUUUCUACAGGCACGUGAUGAUGUGCCAACCGGAUGCUAGUUGUCUCUCACCAGUCAGCUUAACGUCACCCCCCGUGUCUGCUCACACUCGAGUGCUACAAAUCUUUAUUACGGACAGUAAGAUACUGUUUCACCUCUGCUCGUUUUACACGCGAUGUAAUCAAUCGACCCUACCUUAGCCCCUUUGCUGCUAAAAGAAAGCGUCGUACGGUGCAAACGACGACGGCAUGAUUUCUCUCCACACGCGUACGUGGGGCAGUGGCGACGUGCACGCUCGCCGAACGCUCCGGCGAGAAUGAGCAGCGAAAGCGGGCAUCUCCGUGGCCAUGUGGUGCGAAGCGCAGCUAGCUGGACGCAAAAGCUCGCCCGGAAAGCCAAAAGAAUCCUUUUUCUCCUUUCGUUCUCGCCGCGAGCGACCUAGCAGUACUAGCGAGGUCAGGUCGAUACUCGAUCUCUCUUUCUUCCACAUGCGCUCUCGUGUGCGGCCUGAACCUUGUCGGAGGACACGUACUACGUACGUCCAUGCCGCAUUAUUUAGCGACUUCACAUGGGGGGACGAAGAUGGCGAAGGACCCGAGACGGUGCCCAGCUAAAGGGCGGCUACGUGUAGCUUGUACGUCUCCGACAAGGGGGUCAGCCCGUCAAUGUUGUGCGACCAGCUACGUGUCAAAGGAGAGGUGGCCGUGUGACGAACAUUUUAUUGUGUUCAGCGUGCACCGGCUUCAACCUCCCACAACUGACGUUUCCUUGGACGUAGUAAAAAAAGAGAAAGAAAUUGACGUGUCCUUUUCGAUUGUAUUCUUGGUAAGAUGUCCCGCGCAAACAUCUUUAUAUGUGGUAUCUGCCGAAAAAACCCCGUUCGGUGUAAAUUUCAUAAAAACCAUGUAUAGAAUUUUUAAAAAUUCUUAUAAAAAUGCCAUAUUGUGAAGGUGUGGUACUCUACAAAUGUGCAAAAAUUCAAGCAGAAAAUCAAAUGCGUUUGAAAAAUUAAAAAGAGAAUACAAAUGAAUAGUGUCAAAAUUGAAGGCCCACUAUUCAUGUUGAAUUUGUUUUUUUUCGCUCCUACCAAACGCAAUUGAGUUUGAACUUGAAAUUUUACACAUACAUAAAACAUCAUUUCUCUAACAUAUGAACUUUUUUUAGAAUUUUUUGAACUUUUUUCGAUGAAGUUUUCAUAGUUUGCACGGUAGAUGUGGUUUUCAUCGGAUACUUUUCCUAAUUACUUUGGCUCACGAUCCAUAUUAAGUGCUAGCUUUAGUACAACUUUCUGCUAAGUUAAUAGAAAAUUUAAGAUGCUUAUUAUGGAUCGGAGGAAGUAUUACUAUAUUAUUUAGAAAAAACACCAAGUCAGUAAUAGAAAGAGAAGAUAGGUGUUUGUGAGACGGUGUGCACAUGCAUGUAUACAUGUUCUGCCCCAUCUUAUAUAGCUUCAUCGCCCUUUGUUUUCGCGUGUGUUGCCAUACAAAGACAGAAAAUAUCCACGCAAAUUUUUGAUUGGGGGAUUGCAAUAUUGAUCGGUAAGAACAUCCAAUCUAGUGGCCGUGCUGUUAUAUACGAAUGGUGCCUAAAUAAAGUGUAAGGGCAUGCGUCAUAACUGGCCCGUACAAACAUAUAAACAGCCUAGUAAAUCAAUGGCCCAGUUAUAGCACCUACAAUUACGUAAAUCAAUAAGUUAUGUAUUGGAUUUAGGUGGGACUUAAACCAAUUCGUAGCCCAAUAAAGAUAUCGGUCUCAUUAAAUCUUAACCGUUAAAUACCAGAUCCAAUGGAUAGAAUAACUGUGAUGAUGUUGAUCAACGUGAAGUCUCCCUUCAGUACACCUCAUAUUGGUUUUAGUAUAUAAUAGAGAGAUGUGAGGUAACAUAUUUGUUGAAAGUUUACUUUUAGUCCCAUUCAUUGUAUUGUAUAUAAUUGAUAGAUAAUUUUUUAGCUCACGUGGAUAGAUACUAAGUUGAAAACCGAAUUGCUGAUUUUCUAAUUUAUGAUGCCGGUUUUAUAUUACAACAAAGUUACAUUCCAAUGAAGUUGUUAUUUUUCUCUCUCUCUCUCAAUUCACUUAUUAUCUUCAUUCGUAUUACUUGUUACGGUUUUGUCUAGAUACGUAUAUAUCUACAUAAUGAAACACGUCUAGAUACAAGUAUGUCUAGAUAAAGCUGCGACAGUAAUAUGGCCGGAUGGAGUAGUUACUUUUAACGCCACAUAGAGUUUGUACGGAAGUAGAUUGUCAAAUUUCUUGUUAUUAUUUAAUUUUAGUUAUAUAUAGAGACACAUGUGUUUGUCUAGAACCAAUCUCACGCCGCUGCACUGCCCGCCGUUCCUUCAAUCGAACGAUCGGGCCGGUCUUUGCUCGCAGUGUUGGAUCUUGGAUCGUUAGAUUAUUACUCCUGCCUGGCCCGUACAAAUAUACAAAAAAGCCUAGUAAAUUAAUGGUCCAAUUAUAUCACCUAUAAUUACGUAAAUCAAUCAGUUAAGUAUUGGAUUUCAGUGGGCCUUAAACCAAUUCGUAGCCCAAUAAAAAUAGCACUCAUUAAAUCUUAACCGUGAAAUAUCAGAUCCCAUGGACUGAAUAAUUGAGGUGAUGUGGAUCAACGUGGAGCCUCCCCUCGGUACCCCUCAUAUUGCUUUUAGUAUAUAAUAGAUAUCUGGAAGGAGGUGUCAUGUCUCCUUGACAGACAACUAGGUGCUGAUUUUGAUUCAAUUGCUCGUUUAUGGAUGGCUAAUAAAAAUCUGUAUGUAAUAACUCUAUAUAUGCUGUUGUUCUUUAGAGCAUCCGGGCUUUUCGUAAUAACAUGAUUUUUAAUAACCAAGUAUGAUUGUCUCUUAAGCAGAUUUCGUGGCUGAUUCUCCAGUCUCUCGGGAAAUGGUCGUUUCUGUUCAAAGAUACUUUGCUGGACAGGGUGGACUCUUUCUGUCAGAUGGUGUCUCGGCUCCUGGGCGCGCCACCGCUACUGGUUGGGAUCUGAAUGAGGGCAUUUCUGGCCCUCUUUCCCCCACUAAUCUGCCUGUAGGUGUUGUCUCCCCGUUCUCGGGUGUGCUGGGACCGAAACUCCUGAUGCCUUCAGUCAGCCCUAGCUCUGUGCUGGAGCUUCCUCCUCCGACGGCGAACCCAUUGCUGGUUUACGCUGAGCACAAGCUUAUGCUGAAACACCAAGCUUGUGAGCUCGCCGUGCCGCCCCUUAGGACUGCUAUAUCUUCUUGGUGAGGCUGUUUUUCUUCUUGUUUUGGCUGGCUAUGUUUAACCACAAACCAGCUUUCAUUUUGUGUGUUACAGCAUUUGCACGAACCUGGUUUCUUGUUAUAAGGAGCCGGGAGUCCUUGGGCCUCCUGUUGAUUAAAAAUCGCCUCCGGGGAUUAUUGCUCUCGUGAAAGCCAUGCGUUCUGGUUAUCUACAUUCUCCCGGGCAACUGUUUUCAUUCUUGGGAUUAAAGAAGUUCUAAUACUGUUCUCUCUUGUGGACUAAACUAACCAAACGGUGGCACUAGCGAGCUAGGCGACGCACGUCUUGGUUUUGUGGCAGAUCGGCUCGCACAUGUACGCAAAUCAAUGUGAGGAGCCUAAUAAUGUGGAUGGACACCAAAAAACCGGGGAGCGAAAGCUCGAGUUCGGAUUUCCAUAUGCUAAAUCAUGCACACGCCAAUCCAAUCGCUCGAUCGAUGACGCCGCAAGUGGAGCCCGAACCCGCUCGGAUGCUUCCCGGUUACCGCCUCCCUUUGUCCGGUUGCUGCAGUAAGGAAUUCAUCGGUUUCAGAGGAGUGGUCUCCUUUUCCCUGCCAUGCCAUGGUGUUGCUCGUGCUCUCGUACACCUCGCACCGCUGGCUACAACCCGGCCGGCCUCCUCGGUAUUUGAGCACGUCCCGAUUCAACGGAGGUCAAAAAAAUGAAAAGAUAAGAAAAAUAAACUGAAAAUCGGACAUUUAUCCCCUCACGCCCUUUUUAAGACCACCUCGAGAUCGACCUCAUCACUCCCGCACUCAACACUCUCUGGCCAGCCAGCCAGCUCCAAGGCUCUGCGAGGCAGUAGUAGCAACCAGCCAGCCAGCCAGCCCAGAAAGGCCACAACAAUGGCGAAGACAGCCUCGUUCUUCCUCCCUCUCAUAGCGCUCCUGCUCGUGUCUCCGGCGCUCUGCUCGCCGCCGCCCAGCAAGCGUUGCCCCGCGGGCGACCUGCAGGCGCUGCUGCGCGUGAAGCAGGCGCUGGGCAACCCGGCGACUCUCAAGACGUGGUCCGCCGCGUCGCCCGACUGCUGCAGCACGUGGGACCACGUCCGGUGCGACGAGUCCGGGCGCGUGAACAACGUCUUCAUCGACGGCGCGGACGACAUCCACGGCCAGAUCCCGUCGGCCGUGGCGGGGCUGACCGCUCUCAUGUCGCUCUCCCUCUUCCGUCUCCCGGGCCUCCAGGGCAGCAUCCCGGCCUGCCUCACCACGCUCUCCAACCUCCAGUUCCUCACCAUCUCCCACACCAACGUCUCCGGCCCGAUCCCGGACUCGCUCGCCCGCCUCCACAGCCUCGACUCCGUGGACCUCUCCAACAACAGGCUCACGGGCUCCAUCCCAAACUCCUUCGCCGACCUCCCGAACCUCCGCUCCCUCGACCUCCGCCGGAACCUCCUCACCGGCCCCAUCCCUGCCAGCCUCGUCCAGGGCCAGUUCAGGUCACUCAUCCUCUCCUACAACCAGCUGACCGGCCCGAUCCCGCGUGACGACGCGCAGGACGAGAUCAACACCGUGG
Molecule: long non-coding RNA, 14970 nt
Filed under: Brachypodium distachyon (stiff brome)
Lineage: Eukaryota; Viridiplantae; Streptophyta; Magnoliopsida; Poales; Poaceae
Description: long non-coding RNA (BDIS_LNC000340)
Rfam family: MIR1120/MIR1122 microRNA precursor family (bases 5937-6061)
Source: RNAcentral